UGGUUGGAGUUCUAGAAAAGAAGGGUUCUUGAUGGGCAGCUAGGUACGUACUUCUAAGCUAUGUGAGCUUAGGUAAGUCUCUUAACCCCAAUUAACUAGCCCUUGCCAAUCUUCUUAGAAUUGAUCCUGGGUCAGAAGGUAAAGGUUUAAAAAAAAAGAUGAUGAAGGGUUCUUGUCAGAGGAGCUGCUUCUCUGGGAUGAUUUGAGGUGAAGAUACAUGGGCAAGAAAGUCACUUAGCUUCUCAAAAACCCAAGAAACGCUCUAAGUCUUUAAGUUACCACGAAGGUAUCAAUUAGCCCCAGGAGGGAGAAUUUCCUCAUUGGGGGUUCCUACACCAAUGAAAUCACAGUUUUGAUUUUUUCAAAAUUGCCUCUAAAUUUUACAUUCACAUGACAUGCUUAGACUUACAAAGUCUAUCACAACUGCACAGUCAUGUUGGUAGAUUAUUAUUAAUGCAAUUUUACAGAGGUGGAAGCUAAGAAUCAGAGAAGAGAAUUGACUGGGUUGUAGUUAGUGUCAGGGAUAAUAUUCUUUUUAAAAUAUGCUCUCAGAAUAGGAGGCAGAAAGGAUAACAAAACCAACAGUAUUUCCAGUAGGAAGCCUGGCACUCCCACUGCUUGACACCAAAAAGCAUCAGAAUCUUUUAGUGUUAGAGUAUCAAAGAAGAGAUUAAAAAAUUGAGGCACAGUGUAGGGAGGGCUUCAAACCUAAUUCCUCACAUACUCUACCAGAAAAUGAAUUCCCAGCUUCUAAUGUCUGCAAAUCUAUGGAAUGGUUCCUAUGAGCAGGAAUGGUAAGACUUUCUCUUCUUGUCUUUCAGAAAAGCCUCUUGGAGUCUCCCUCCCAUCCCCCUAAAAAAGGUACCAUUCAAGAUUGAGGAGAGCAGGUGUUGCCAUGGUUUUACAGUCCAGCAUCCUCCUCACAGAGCUACUUUCCCAGCAACAACCCUAAAAGAUGGUAAAAGGAUCAUUAACAACAUUUAACCAAUGAAGACACUGAAACUUAGAAAGGUUUAGGUGUAGUGAUCUCCACCAGAGAAGAGUUUGAGCCAUGGCCACCCUUGAGUCCAGAUUGCAGGUGAGAUAGUAUAACCAGCCAUCCUAGAAGGGAAACCCUAAGAAACCAGGAUGCCUGGGACUCAAGCUCAGAGGGAAGUUUGGACUUGGGACUUGGGCUUGUGAGCUAUAGAAUUUGAGUUCAGCUAUGAUUAAUCCACUUCCCUGCCCUAGAUACUGAGGUGCUACAGGGGGGAAGAAAUUGUUCUUCUUACACAUGGGGAAGUGCGU
This 1287-nucleotide long non-coding RNA is filed under the name Monodelphis domestica (gray short-tailed opossum). RNAcentral describes it as "lncRNA (ENSMODG00000036672.1)". The record is from RNAcentral. Lineage: Eukaryota; Metazoa; Chordata; Mammalia; Didelphimorphia; Didelphidae.